UCCCUGGUGGCUCAGAUGGUAAAGCAUCUGCCUACAAUGCAGGAGACCCGGGUUCGAUCCCUGGGUUGGGAA
RNAcentral lists this transfer RNA (72 nucleotides) under Bos indicus (zebu cattle). It matches the Rfam family "tRNA". From Rfam's summary of the family: Transfer RNA (tRNA) molecules are approximately 80 nucleotides in length. Their secondary structure includes four short double-helical elements and three loops (D, anti-codon, and T loops). Lineage: Eukaryota; Metazoa; Chordata; Mammalia; Artiodactyla; Bovidae. RNAcentral also lists the same sequence under 4 other names. The record is from Rfam by way of RNAcentral.